CAGUAGCCGCGGUAAUCCGAAGGGUGCAAGCGUUAAUCGGAAUUACUGGGCGUAAAGCGUGCGUAGGCGGUGAGUUAAGUCUGCUGUGAAAUCCCUGGGCUCAACCUGGGAAUUGCGAUGGAUACUGGGCGACUAGAGUGCGGUAGAGGAUAGUGGAAUUUCCGGUGUAGCAGUGAAAUGCGUAGAGAUCGGAAGGAACAUCUGUGGCGAAGGCGACUAUCUGGGCCAACACUGACACUGAGACACGAAAGCGUGGGGAGCAAACAGGAUUAGAUACCCCCGUAGUCCCUGUCUCUUAUAA
This 301-nucleotide ribosomal RNA is filed under the name uncultured bacterium. RNAcentral describes it as "partial 16S ribosomal RNA". It matches the Rfam family "Bacterial small subunit ribosomal RNA", at positions 509 to 809 of the family's 1533-position model. The record is from RNAcentral.